RNAcentral lists this ribosomal RNA (464 nucleotides) under uncultured bacterium. Its description in RNAcentral is "bacterial SSU rRNA". It matches the Rfam family "Bacterial small subunit ribosomal RNA", at positions 917 to 1382 of the family's 1533-position model. The record is from RNAcentral.
GGGCCCGCACAAGCGGAGGAACAUGUGGUUUAAUUCGAUGAUACGCGAGGAACCUUACCUGGGCUUAAAUGUAGAUUGCAUGUGGUGGAAACACCCUUCCCUUCGGGGCUAUCUACAAGGUGCUGCAUGGUUGUCGUCAGCUCGUGCCGUGAGGUGUCGGGUUAAGUCCCAUAACGAGCGCAACCCUUAUCGUUAGUUGCCAUCAGGUAAUGCUGGGGACUCUAGCGAGACUGCCACCGUAAGGUGAGAGGAAGGUGGGGAUGACGUCAAAUCAGCACGGCCCUUAUGUCCAGGGCUACACACGUGUUACAAUGGCAGGUACAAAGGGCAGCUACACCGCGAGGUGAUGCUAAUCUCUAAAGCCUGUCCCAGUUCGGAUUGGAGUCUGAAACCCGACUCCAUGAAGUUGGAUUCGCUAGUAAUCGCGCAUCAGCCAUGGCGCGGUGAAUACGUUCCCGGGCCUU